Molecule: ribosomal RNA, 442 nt
Filed under: uncultured bacterium
Lineage: Bacteria
Description: partial 16S ribosomal RNA
Rfam family: Bacterial small subunit ribosomal RNA
Source: RNAcentral
CCUACGGGAGGCAGCAGUGGGGAAUAUUGGGCAAUGGGCGCAAGCCUGACCCAGCAACGCCGCGUGAAGGAAGAAGGCUUUCGGGUUGUAAACUUCUUUUAUGAGGGAGGAGCAGAAGACGGUACCUCUUGAAUAAGCCACGGCUAACUACGUGCGAGCAGCCGCGGUAAUACGUAGGUGGCAAGCUUUGUCCAGAUUUACUGGGUGUAAAGGGCGUGCAGCCGGGAAGACAAGUCAGAUGUGAAAUCCGGCGGCGAAACCGCGGAACUGCAUUUGAAACUGUUUUUCUUGAGUACCGGAGAGGUCAUCGGAAUUCCUUGUGUAGCGGUGAAAGGCGUAGAUAUAAGGAAGAACACCAGUGGCGAAGGCGGAUGACUGGACGGCAACUGACGGUGAGGCGCGAAAGCGUAGGGAGCAAACAGGAUUAGAUACCCCAGUAGUC